Long non-coding RNA from Oncorhynchus tshawytscha (Chinook salmon), 338 nucleotides. Lineage: Eukaryota; Metazoa; Chordata; Actinopteri; Salmoniformes; Salmonidae. The record is from Ensembl.
AUUAAUCAUAAACCCAAAUUGAGAACAUUUUGUUUGAUUCAGGGUGAAUUGGUGUGUGAGAGAUAUGUUAUGUAUAACCUACCUAAAAACAAGAGAUCGCUACGUGCACAGGUCAGAUCAGGGAUAUUGUCUCUGCGUAUUGAAACAGGUCAGAUCAGGGAUAUUGUCUCUGCGUAUUGAAACAGGUCAGAUCAGGGAUAUUGCCUCUGCGUGUUGAAACAGGUCAGACCAGUGUUAUUGUCUCUGCGUAUUGAAACAGGUCAGAUCAGGGAUAUUGUCUCUGCAUAUUGAAACAGGUCAGAUCAGGGAUAUUGUCUCUGCAUAUUGAAACAGGUCAG